RNAcentral lists this long non-coding RNA (2680 nucleotides) under Heterocephalus glaber (naked mole-rat). RNAcentral's name for it is "lncRNA (ENSHGLG00100048813.1)". Lineage: Eukaryota; Metazoa; Chordata; Mammalia; Rodentia; Bathyergidae. The record is from RNAcentral.
GUGUUAUCUGAUUCAUACUUUAACCAGCUCUAGGAAGUCACAGAAUCAUUCUGUCACUGUCCUCAUGUUACUGAAUACUGAUGUAUGUGAAGAAUACUGAUGUGCAGCUGGGCAUGGUGGUGCAUGCCUGUAAUAUCAGCCCUCCAGAGGCUGAGGCAGGAGAAUGGCAGUAAAGUUGAGGCCAGCUUGGGCUACAUAGUGGGUUCAAGGCCAGCCUGAACUACUAUAUAGUGAGAUCCUGUCUCAAAAUUAUAUAUAUAUAUAUACAUAUACAUACAUAUAUAUAUAUAUAUAUAUGUGCAGAAGGCUAAGGUAACUUAACUGAGAUCACAGAGCUAGGAAGUAAUGGCUGGGGUCUGGACCUGGAACCUGAUUCCAAAGUUCUGACAGUUCACCAGCACAUAGAAUUGCUUCUAGAGAGGUUUGUUCUGUUUAUCCAGGGAGAGACUGGCAAUUAUGGUCUCCCUCUGCUUUCAAGCAAGCAUUAGGAGACUGUCCUGGCUGUCUGGCUUCCUGGUCUUGUAUCUACUUUUUAAAUGAUUAUUUUAUUUACAUAUUCUUGGGUCAUGGCUGCCUGUAGCUCAGUUUCACAGGAUGGGAGAGAAUAUCCAUGAUAAUAAAUUUUCCAUCUGCCUUUCUCCAAAUGCCCUCCCUGCCCGAACCCUGUUAAAUUUUAGCAUAUUUCCCAGAGGUGGUCUUCAUGUUUAAAACUUAGAAAAAAUCCCUUUUUUUUUUUUAGACAGGGUUUAUCUAUGUAGUUCGGGCUGGCCUUGAACUUAUUACUGUAUUUCCCAGAAAAUAACACCAGAAAAUGAGCUCUAGCAUGAUAUUUACAAUGCUUAUAAGCCCUACCCUAAAAAUAAACCCCACUUAAGAUUGUCAGCCAAGAGUAUGGAACAGCAGGAGAAUGGGGAAAAAAUAAGAACCAAGAUACAUCAGGUGCUGGUACAAAUUCCCAAUGAUGAAUGUCAACAUAUUGUAUACCUAAUAACAAUAAACUUAAUGAAAAAAAAAAGAUUGUCAGCCAGAUGGCUGCAUUUAGUUUGUCUGUUGCAACACAUGAUAUAUGUAUUGAAUUGUAAAAUAAUAAUAUUAAUAUAUAAUUAAAUAUAAGUAAAUAGUAUUAUUGACAAUAUUUUAAAUAAACGACAAUAUAAACUAUAAUUUGGGUAUUAGUAAAUGCCCAAGCAGGUGCCUUUGCAGAAGAGGUAAAUUCUUCUGUAAAUAGAUGAACAGGAGACUGAUUGCUGAAUGACCAAUCCAAGUAGAGAUACAAUGCAUGUAUAAUGUACACACUUGAUAACAGACAGAGUUGGUUGUGUCUAAAAUGAAUCUGCAUAAUUCGAUAUGGCAUGUGUUGUAAUGGAUUUGUGUGAAAUAAGGAAACAUUUUCUGAAUUUUUGUACCUGCCAUUUUUUGUCUCUUUUGUGUGGACAAUCAUUCUUAACUGUCAUCAUUUUUGUUGCCACUCCUAUCUCCUAAGUCUUCAAUUAACACUUGAUCUAAUGGAAACUUUGUGAAGCCCACCCUGCAGGAGGUUGAGACUUGGGUGAAGAAGUGAUAGAAUAAAAUUGCUGACAGCUACGUAACCAAUGCAUUAUAAGUGCACCACAUGGACAGAAGCAUUCAUGUUUGAUGUAAAAAUAAAAUGGGCAAGCAGAUGUGAAAGCUGUAAAAUGUGUUGCACCUGAGAAGAAAUAUUCUCCAAUUAGUAGUAAAGAAGACUCUGCCUUGCAGGCAACUGGGGAAAUGCCCACUCCCCUUUUGGGCCCCUCCACUGAAAUCUGGUAAUAAGUCAUAACAGCUCAAUCUUGUUGCUAUAUUUCACAUCCUAAAUUCAAGCUGACCUUCUGAGAAGGAUUGUAAGGUGAAUCAGGUUCAGCCUUGUUGUUUUACAGAUGAAGACUGAGGCCCAAGUUCUCAAGGCUGAGAAGUCCUAGAUCAAGGUGCCAGCAAAUUCAAUGUCCAGUAAGGACCAGUUUUCUGGGUCCUAAAAACCUCUUCUUGCUGCAUCCACAGGAGGUGAAGGGGAUGAGGAGAGCUCUGGUAUUUGUUUUGUAAAGAAACUGAUCCUAAACCCUCAUGACUCAGUUCCAUUUCAAAGGCCCCACCUUCUAAAUCUCAUAUUAGGGGUUGAAAUUUCAACAUAGAAAUUUGGUGAGGGGCAGGACAUGCAGGCAUUCAGUCUGCAAAAGUCAUGAGAGAAAAGCCAGUAAAGUUAGAGACCAAGCUUAAUUCCCAGCUGUGUGACUUGGGCCAAGCCAUAGAAAUUCUCUGAGUCUCAGGUUCUACUGAAAAUGGACUUGCAAGCAUGUAUAUUUAAAGGAUUAAAUUGACCAACAUGUAAAGAACUUAACACAUUAUUUGGCACUGAGUAAAUUUUUAAGGUAUUAGCUCAAAUAUAAGACAGGCAUAAUUAAGUAGGAAAAUAUGUGAUUUAGAGUUGUACAAUUUUUAAAUUUAGAAAAAAAAAGUACAAACUCUCUAAUCCAGUGUUUCUCCAAUAAUGGUCUGUGGAUUGCUGCCAGUUUUUGACAAUUUUUAUUUCCAGUCUGCAGCAAAAUAUAAAAACAGAAAGGCAGUGUAACGGGAAACUAUUCUUUCUUUGGUGUUCAGUGUCACUUUUUUUUUUUGUGUGUGUGUGUGUCACUUUUUCAAUGAGCUAAUGAAAGGCAGGUGG